GGAAACAACUCGCUCUGCACUGCUGUUUUACAGCCUAAGGGAACAUGUCUUACAAAGGCCUGUGAAACGCAGUUUCUUCCCAGGCCUGAUCUCGCUGAAGUAGAACUUCUGCUCUGCCGUGUCCUAUGUGGCCCUAGAGCUGCAAGUAACACAGUCCUGCCUUGUCUUCUCAAGGGCAGAUAUGUUCCUCAGCCUCCAGCUUCCAGCACUUUUGGCAGCUAAGAAACAAGUCGCUCUGCACUACUGUUUUACAGCCUACCGGGAACAUGUCUUACAAAGGCCUGUGAAACGCAGUUUCUUCCCAGGCCUGAUCUCGCUGAAGUAGAACUUCUGCUCUGCCGUGUCCUACAUGGGCCUAGAGCUGCAAGGCACAAGGUCCUGCCUUGUUUCCACAAGGGGAGAGAACUCCCUCAGCGUCCAGCUUCCAGCUCUUUGGGCAGCUAAGAAACAACUAGCUCUGCAUAGGGCUCUUUUAGCCUACCGGGAACAUGUCUUACAAAGGCCUGUGAAACGCAGUUUCUUCCCAGGCCUGAUCUGGCUGAAGUAGAACUUCUGCUCUGGGUGUGCUCCAUUGGCCUAGAGUUGCCUGGCCCAAAGCUCUGCCUUGUUUGCAAAGGGGCAGAGAGGCCCCAAAGCAUCUUGCUUCCAGCUCUUUGGGAAGCUAAGAAACAACUCGCUCUGCACAGUGCUCUUACAGCCUACCGGGAACAUCUCUUGCAAUGGCCUGUGAAAUGCAGUUUCUUGGCAGGCCUGAUCUGGCUGAUGUCGAUCUUCUGCUGUGCCGUGUGCUACAUUGCCCUAGAGCUCCAAGGCACAAAGUCCUGCCUUGUUUGCUCAUGGGGAGAUAGGCCCCAAAGCAUCUUGCUUCCAGCUCUUUGGGAUUCUAAGAAACAACUCACUCUCCACAGUGCUCUUACAGCCUACCAGGAACAUCUCCUACAAAGGCCUGUGAAACGCAGUUUCUUUCCAGCCCUGAUCUUGCUGCGUUAAAACUUUUGCUCUGAGCCGCGUCUUGGCAGAUAUUCGAGGAGUCUUAUUUACUCUCCUUAUGGAUGAGGAAAAGUCAGCUGUUCUAUUAAAUGCUAGAGAAGAAGCAUAUUAUGAAUAUGACCCAAUAUCAGCCAUUGGCAGACUUAGUGAACAGCCUCUGCCAGAGACCGAUGCUGUGUGAAUCCCAGUGAUCCUGAUGAUCAUGAAGAGGAAGACAAGAAGAUGAAAAAGCAAGCCACCCUGUUUUGUGUGGCCCUUCAAGUCUGUUCAAGGUAACCUGAGGAAGAGAAGGAGUGAGUGACCUCAGCCUCCAACCAGUGACCAGAAAGCCACCAACAAAUUUUGGUGUGUGUACUGCAAACUGGAAGGGCAUUGGCAGCAGGACUGUCCCAACCAUCGCCUGAGAGUUAAGAGAUUGAACAGGGUCAAGCCACGGCAUCUUCUCUUGACCACGGAUGAGAUGUGACAGGGCCAUGUGGCUCCCCAGUUGGCUCUAGGGGUGACCUUGGCAGUAGGAGGAGAACAUGUUAAAAUUUUUGGUCAAUACUGGAGCCACAUUCUCGGUGCUGAAUACCAAAAAGAGAAACCUUUCAAAAAGUUAAAGAUGUAGCCUCAAAGGUGUAUCAGGCAAAGGGGAGACCAAAAGUUUUCUGGAGCCCCUUGACCUAUGAAACAGGAUAAAAAGUACUUAAGCGUUUCUUUCUGUAUGUACCAGAAUGCCUUGUUCCCCCUCUAGGGAGGGACAGGCUAUCUAAGCUAGGGGCCUCAAUAAGCUGGGGAAAAGAUAAAGUAGAGAUCCAAGAUCCCAAAAAUUUGGGAAUUGGGCUUAUGGCCCUAUUACAGGAUACACCAGCACCUGAGAAGGAAGAGAUUCCACUAAAUAUUUUAAGUUAAGCUAACUCAGAAUUAUAGGCACAAGGACAGGUGGAGUGAGCAGCCAGUGCCAUGUCAGUAAAGGUAAAACUGAAGCAGGCAGUUUGCUGGCCCCGGGUAAGACAAUACCCCCCCGAAGCCAGAAGCCAUAAAGAUGAAUCUUUCUUGUAAUCAAUACGUUUUUAGAACUGGGGAAUGUAGGUUUGUUCAAGACCGUAGUGCUGUCAAUGCUGUACAGUACUGGAUUUAUAAUAGUAAAUAUCCUUUUUGUUUCUGGCACAGAGAUCCAAAAACUCUUGUAAUUUCCCACAUAAGAGCCAUAGAGUCAUAUUUUGUUAUAAUAAUUACUUUAGUCCUCAGUUCCUGAAAUUACUCCAGAGCAAUAAAGGGGAAAGAGCUGUCUUUUGUUAUUCCUAACAAGACCCUUUCAACCACAUUGAAUUUAUGUUAAUAAGGUGACAUUUGGAAAGCCCCUAAGGGUGGAGGCUGGUGUGUGGGAAAAUAGGGAAAGCUAUUUUGUGAUUCAGGGUUGGGAUUUUCAGCCCCAUCCCCCUCUCCAUAGGUCCAGGAUGAGGAGAGGGCUGAAGAUUGAGUUCGAUUGUCAAAGGCCAAUGACGUAAUCAACUGUGCCUAUGUAGGGGGGUCUCCAUUAAUAUCCAAAGGGAUGGGCUUCAGAGAGCUUCUGGGUUGGUAAACACCCAGGGAGAUUUGGGGAGAGUGGCAUGCCCAGAGAGGGUCUGGGAGCUCCAUGUCCUUGCCCCACGUAUUUUAC
This is a long non-coding RNA of Equus caballus (horse), 2635 nucleotides long. The record is from Ensembl. NCBI's taxonomy places the organism in Eukaryota, Metazoa, Chordata, Mammalia, Perissodactyla, Equidae.